GACGAACGCUGGCGGCGUGCUUAACACAUGCAAGUCGAACGGUAAGGCCCUUCGGGGUACACGAGUGGCGAACGGGUGAGUAACACGUGGGUGAUCUGCUCUGCACUUCGGGAUAAGCCUGGGAAACUGGGUUGAAUACAGGAUAGGACUCCUGGCUUCAUGGUUGGGGGUGGAAAGCUUUUGCGGUGUGGGAUGGGCCCGCGGCCUAUGAGCGUGUUGGUGGGGUAAUGGGCUACCAAGGCGACGACGGGUAGCCGGCCUGAGAGGGUGGCCGGUCACACUGGGACGGAGAUACGGCCCAGACUCCUACGGGAGGCAGCAGUGGGGAAUAUUGCACAAUGGGCGCAAGCCUGAUGCAGCGACGCCGCGUGAGGGAUGACGGCCUUCGGGUUGUAAACCUCUUUCAGCUAUGACGAAGCGCAAGUGACGGUAGUAGCAGAAGAAGGACCGGCCAACUACGUGCCAGCAGCCGCCGUAA
This 478-nucleotide ribosomal RNA is filed under the name uncultured bacterium. Its description in RNAcentral is "partial 16S ribosomal RNA". It matches the Rfam family "Bacterial small subunit ribosomal RNA", at positions 28 to 523 of the family's 1533-position model. The record is from RNAcentral.